This 370-nucleotide ribosomal RNA is filed under the name Gourretia sp. RR-2008. Its description in RNAcentral is "partial 12S ribosomal RNA". Lineage: Eukaryota; Metazoa; Arthropoda; Malacostraca; Decapoda; Ctenochelidae. The record is from RNAcentral.
UUUUAGAAGUAAUCUCAUUACUAAAAUAUUACAAGUUAUAUCUUUUAAAUUUAAAGGAUGUGGCGGUGUUUUAGUCCAGUUAGAGGAACCUUUUGAGUAAACGAUACACCACGUAAUGAUUUACCUGCCUUUAUAGCUUGUAUACCGUCAUUAUUAGAUAACUCUCGUAAGAUUAGUUAGUUCAGUAAACUAUUGCUUAAUAUAGUAGAUCAAGGUGCAGCCAAUGAGUAGGCCUCCAAUGGGUUACAAAAAACUUACUUAUACGAAUUCUAUGAUUAAACUUUUUCAUUAAGGAGGAUUUAAAUGUAAGGCUAGUUUAAUAAUCUAACCUGAUAAUUGAUCUAAAUCAAGUACUUAUCCACCAUUGCUU